Molecule: long non-coding RNA, 2390 nt
Filed under: Homo sapiens (human)
Lineage: Eukaryota; Metazoa; Chordata; Mammalia; Primates; Hominidae
Description: PREDICTED lncRNA (TCONS_00161393)
Source: RNAcentral
AGGAGAAUGGCGUGAACCCAGGAGAUGGAGCUUGCAGUGAGCCGAGAUCGCGCCAAUGCACUCUAGCCUGGACGACACAAGGAGACUCCAUCUCAAAACAACAACAACAACAACAACAACAACAACAACAACAACAAAAACAACAAAAACCAGCUGAGCAGCGCGGGCCUUCUGGCAGCGGGUCCAGCUCCAGGGCGCCCUAGGGCAGCGGCGUGCAGUGUUCGGGUAAUAGGACGCAGACGGUGGGGUCGCCGGGGGCUUCGGGGUGGCCUCGGCCCCAGGCCAUCCAGCCCUGUGGACCGAAUGGAGUCCCACACGCUGUUGAGGUAGUUGUGGGUUCCCCUGGCCUCGGGCUCGGCGCAGGGUCAGCGCUCCUGCAGGCGGCGCUUGCGGUACGGGCUGGUGAAAGUGGAGACGGACGGCAGGAUGGAUUCACUUGGCGACAUGGCGGGGAGCUGGGAAGACGGACACCGGCUGGGAAAGGGUUUCUUCUGUCCAUAAAAGCUACUCCAAUGGCUGUGGGAGACUUAAUUCCAAUUCCAGGUGAUACAGCCGUCAGUCUCCCACUAGCUGUAGGAUGGUGUGCUGCAGUUCACAGACCUAAGUCAAUGUUAGUCUACCACUGUACGUCUGGUAACCUCAAUCCCUGCAACCGGAGCAAAAUGUGAUUCCAGGUCUUGGCAACCUCUGAAAUUCCAACUCCAUUUGCGAGAGCUUUGAGGAGGCCAUAUGCUGAUUUCACCACAAGCAACUUCACAACCCAGUACUGGAAUGCCAUCAGCCAGCAGGCCCCUGCCAUUAUCUGUGACUUCUAUCUGUGGCUCAUUGGAAGGAAACCCAGCUACCGAAGGAAGAUACCCUCAUCAACCCAAUUUUACAAAUGGAGAAAUAGAAGCUCAGGGAAGAAUCUGAAGUAGUCUCAAAGGAAGUGACAGGAAGGAUGUGGAGAAAGCUGAGUGUCAAAGUCAGUAUUCAAGACCGGAUUUACUGCUACUUAGAGAUGAAUGAAGAAAUCAGAGGGAACGCAGUGUGCUGAUGCUAAAGCGGCUGUCACCACCCAGCUGUGUGACAUAGGACAUCUUCUUUCUCUGUCUCACUUGACUAAUAUGUUGUGUCAGGGGAGACAUGAUUGUAAUUGCCUAAAGCAAUUCUUGUGAUCAAGAAUCAGAAGCAUGAACAGUAUUGCCCUCUGUGUUAGCCCCUUUAUAAGGGAGGAAGUCAUCUUCAGCAUGCUGAAUUGUCAUCUUUCUUAGCAGUGCAAAUGACUAAAACUUAGCCAAUGUAGAGUUUGUCCAAAUUUGGAGCUCAUAACUCAGUUCUUGAGCAAAGUGAAAAGAAAACAUUGUGAUUAUGGGGAAAAUAUUUGUACGGGACUUAUCAAAUAAAGAUAGGAAAAGAAGAAAACUCAAAUAUUAUAGGCAGAAAUGCUAAAGGUUUUAAAAUAUGUCAGGAUUGGAAGAAGGCAUGGAUAAAGAACAAAGUUCAGUUAGGAAAGAGAAACACAGAAGGAAGAGACACAAUAAAAGUCAUUAUGUAUUCUGUGAGAAGUCAGACAGUAAGAUUUGUGGGAAAUGGGUUGGUUUGUUGUAUGGUAUGUAUUUUAGCAAUAAUCUUUAUGGCAGAGAAAGCUAAAAUCCUUUAGCUUGCGUGAAUGAUCACUUGCUGAAUUCCUCAAGGUAGGCAUGAUGAAGGAGGGUUUAGAGGAGACACAGACACAAUGAACUGACCUAGAUAGAAAGCCUUAGUAUACUCAGCUAGGAAUAGUGAUUCUGAGGGCACACUGUGACAUGAUUAUGUCAUUACAUGUAUGGUAGUGAUGGGGAUGAUAGAAGGAAGAACUUAUGGCAUAUUUUCACCCCCACAAAAAUCAGUUAAAUAUUGGGACACUAACCAUCCAGGUCAAGAAAAGUCACAUGCCAUAGCCAUGGUAUUGCACAUCAUUCAUCUUGCAUUCUUUGAGAAUAAGAAGAUCAGUAAAUAGUUCAGAAGUGGGAAGCUUUGUCCAGGCCUGUGUGUGAACCCAAUGUUUUGUUUAGAAAUAGAACAAGUAAGUUCAUUGCUAUAGCAUAACACAAAAUUUGCAUAAGUGGUGGUCAGCAAAUCCUUGAAUGCUGCUUAAUGUGAGAGGUUGGUAAAAUCCUUUGUGCAACACUCUAACUCCCUGAAUGUUUUGCUGUGCUGGGACCUGUGCAUGCCAGACAAGGCCAAGCUGGCUGAAAGAGCAACCAGCCACCUCUGCAAUCUGCCACCUCCUGCUGGCAGGAUUUGUUUUUGCAUCCUGUGAAGAGCCAAGGAGGCACCAGGGCAUAAGUCUACUCACUUAUAUCUGUUUGUCUGGAACAUAACCCAUGUUUGUUUUUACAACAAAUAAAAUUGAUCUUGAAUAAAAA